Molecule: ribosomal RNA, 644 nt
Filed under: uncultured bacterium
Lineage: Bacteria
Description: bacterial SSU rRNA
Rfam family: Bacterial small subunit ribosomal RNA
Source: RNAcentral
UAAAGGAAGCGAUUCCGGCUACGGAUGGUCAUGCGUCGCAUUAGCUAGUUGGCGGGGUAACGGCCCACCAAGGCGACGAUGCGUAGGGGUUCUGAGAGGAAGGUCCCCCACACUGGUACUGAGACACGGACCAGACUCCUACGGGAGGCAGCAGUGAGGAAUAUUGGUCAAUGGCCGCAGGGCUGAACCAGCCAAGUCGCGUGAGGGAUGACGGUCCUAUGGAUUGUAAACCUCUUUUGUCAGGGAGCAAAGGACGCCACGUGUGGCGUUUUGCGAGUACCUGAAGAAAAAGCAUCGGCUAACUCCGUGCCAGCAGCCGCGGUAAUACGGAGGAUGCGAGCGUUAUCCGGAUUUAUUGGGUUUAAAGGGUGCGCAGGCGGAAUGUCAAGUCAGCGGUAAAAUUUCGGGGCUCAACCCCGUCGUGCCGUUGAAACCGGCGUUCUUGAGUGAGCGAGAAGUAUGCGGAAUGCGUGGUGUAGCGGUGAAAUGCAUAGAUAUCACGCAGAACUCCGAUUGCGAAGGCAGCAUACCGGCGCUCAACUGACGCUCAUGCACGAAAGCGUGGGUAUCGAACAGGGUUAGAUACCCUGGUAGUCCACGCAGUAAACGAUGAAUACUAACUGUCCGGGCCGAUUGAGGUCUGG